Salmo salar (Atlantic salmon) is the source of this 1338-nucleotide non-coding RNA. NCBI's taxonomy places the organism in Eukaryota, Metazoa, Chordata, Actinopteri, Salmoniformes, Salmonidae. The record is from RefSeq and is a predicted model, not a curated record.
AGUUCAUAUAUACUUAUGUUCUGCUGCUGACUUGUUGUCUUGUUUUGUGUGGAGUAGCUGAGUUCAUAUUUCCACCCUCAGGAUGAUGGAAAAACUCUACCUAUUGCUGCUCUCUCUCUGUCUGCCCUGUUGCAAUGGUCAGAGUCUGGAGGUCAUUCCCUCCAGUCCAGUCCAGAAAAAGCCUGGAGAAACUCUCAGUCUGUCCUGUAAGAUAUCUGGAUAUACCGUUACCAGCCACCACACACUGGAUACGACAGCCAGCAGGAAAAUCCCUGGAGUGGAUGGGUUUUUCUGGAUUAGGCCUAGGUUACCAUGCUAAAAAGUUUGAAGGACGUAUGGAAACCACUAAAGAUACUAGCAACAGCAUGUUGACUUUGAUGCUGUCUGGUGUGAGAGCAGAGGACUCUGCUGUGUAUUACUGUGCAAGAGACACAGUGGUGUGAGUGCAGGAUCUGUACAGAAACCCCUCAGAGAAUCUAACUGGCAGCAGUCAACAGAGAGCAUCAGUACAGCAGAGUAACAUCCAAUGAAUAUCUCAACCACAACAUGCCCCUGAGAGCCUAAACAACCAGCAUAUUAUCAACACAACUACAUUAACACAAUGUAGGCUAGAGGGAUGAGCUAUCAGAGGACAGGCUCAUUGUAAUGGAUGGAAUGGAAUCUAUCUAAAUGGAACGGUGUCAAACAGAUCAAUCAAACAUCGGUUUUAAGGUCUCUGCACUGGCUGCCUGUGAGUUUUAGCCUGAAUUUUAAUAUUCUUAUAUUGGUUUUUAAAUCAAUCCACGAUUGUGCACCCCAAUAGAUUACAGAUAUGCUUUUAAAUUAUGCACCCAGUUGGUCCCUCAGAUCUUCUGGCACUCACCUUUUAACUAUCCCAAAGCCUAGGACCAAGAGGCAUGGAGAGGCAGCCUUUACUUACAAUGCCCACCGCCUCUGGAAUAGUCUGCCAGCAAACCUGAACGGACCCGAAACUGUGGACAUUUUUUAAAGAGAUCUUAAAACACACCUUUUUAAGCUUUGCUUUUCCUUAGGGUGAUUUUUAGUCCAUCAGUUUUUAUUGUUAUUCUUUUUAUAAUGUUUUCCCUGUGAAGCAUAUUGUGUUGCAUUCCAUGUCUGAAAUGUGCUGUAUAAAUAACGCUUGAUUUGAUUUGAUCAUGUGGAAACCACAUUUGACUCUGUUCCAUUAAUACCAUUCCAGACAUUACAAUGAGCCCGUCCUCUUAUAGCUCCUCCCACCAGUUUGAUGUACACAUUCAUUUGGGGAGAGGUGUAGAACAAGACAGGAAACACAUCAAGCUUUGUUCAUUCAUGAUGAAUAAUGUGAUUUUUGUUGAUAGA